GUUUUUGUCAGUGGACUGAGGAAGAAUGUAGAGCUGGUUUGCCUUCGUUGUUUUUCCUUUCUAUUGAAUAUGCUAUUGUCCGGUUGAAAUAUUAUUGAUUAUUUAGACAAUUGACAACCUGAGGAUUAAUUAUAAACAUCGUUUGACAUGUUUCAACAAACUUUACCGGUACUAUUUGUCACGCCCUGACCUGAGAGAGACGGUUUAUUUCUCUAUUUUGUUAGGUCAGGGUGUGGGUUGGCCAUUCUAUGGUUUAUAUUUCAAUGUUUUGGCCAGGUAUGGUUUCCAAUCAGAGGCAGCUGCCUAUCGUUGUCUCUGAUUGGGAACUAUACUUAGGCAGCCCUUUUUCCCUCCUUGUGUUGUGGGAUCUUAUUUUUGUACUGCUGUGUAAAGCCUGCAAGACGUGACGGUCGUGUUCCAUUGUUUGUUAUUUUGUUUAAGUGUUCAGAGUUCAAUUAAAUUCAAGAUGAACACAUACCACACUGCACCUUGGUCUACUCCUUUUGGCGAUUGUUACACUAUUAGGAUGUAUUCGUCUGCAUGUUAUGACCGCCUUGGAGCCAGUGGAUUACUGAACAAAACGCGCCAACAAACAGAGUUUUUGGGAUAUAAAGAGGGACUUUAUCGAACAAAACAAACAUUUAUUGUGUAGCUGGGACUCUUGUGACUGCAACCAUAUCAAGAUCUUCAAAGGUGUACUUUGGAAGAUGACAAAGUAUCCUGAGAGAGAAGGGAAACAAGGUCUUCCGGGAGUCAAGGGCCCAGCGGAAAUCGUCUUCUGGAGGACAGUCGACGUGGGAGAGAGUCAGAGGACAAAACACCUCCCCCUCCCUCCAAAGACCCAACCAACCAGCUUGGCUUCAACACUCGUGACAUUGGUGAGGGGGCUGUUGUCGGAGUCAGUGAGGUGUGGUGGGAGUGGGCUGAGGUUAUGAUGCAUCCAGGGACAUAACUCGCGUGUCACGGAACACUGGAUAGACUCUUGUUUGCCUGCACAUCCCUCAUCCCUCUGUUUUUAUCUGUCCAUGUGUUAUUUUGAUCAUGGCGUCCAUUCCUUCCUGGCUCCUGAUUUCUGGCGGGAGGAGCCGCAGCUGGGAUCCUUCUAAAAAUGGGAAUCGCCACAGACGCUCGCUCCGACUUAUUUUCCCUCUGGAUGUGAGGGAAUGAGGUGGCGUUCCAACACAGAGUGGAAAGAUGUGAUUGCUUCCAUUUGGGGAAAAACAGUCAAAUUCCUGACCCCUCCCCCUUUGACUUCAGGACUUUCAGUCAAUGGCUUGAGUCCCAAAUGGCACCCUAUUCCCUAUAUAGUGCACAAGGUAGCCUAGCGUUUAAGAGCAUUGU
RNAcentral lists this long non-coding RNA (1341 nucleotides) under Salmo salar (Atlantic salmon). Its description in RNAcentral is "lncRNA (ENSSSAG00000101720.1)". The record is from RNAcentral. Lineage: Eukaryota; Metazoa; Chordata; Actinopteri; Salmoniformes; Salmonidae.